GCCCGCCUAGCUCAAUCGGAUAGAGCGUGAGACUUUUACGGCCUCUAGGACGGCGGGUAAAUCUCAAGGCUGCGGGUUCGACCCCCGCGGUGGGCU
This is a non-coding RNA of Pilatotrama ljubarskyi, 96 nucleotides long. NCBI's taxonomy places the organism in Eukaryota, Fungi, Basidiomycota, Agaricomycetes, Polyporales, Polyporaceae. The record is from the annotation of a GenBank genome assembly.